AUUGAACGCUGGCGGCAGGCCUAACACAUGCAAGUCGAGCGGAUGAAGGGAGCUUGCUCCUGGAUUCAGCGGCGGACGGGUGAGUAAUGCCUAGGAAUCUGCCUGGUAGUGGGGGAUAACGUCCGGAAACGGGCGCUAAUACCGCAUACGUCCUGAGGGAGAAAGUGGGGGAUCUUCGGACCUCACGCUAUCAGAUGAGCCUAGGUCGGAUUAGCUAGUUGGUGGGGUAAAGGCCUACCAAGGCGACGAUCCGUAACUGGUCUGAGAGGAUGAUCAGUCACACUGGAACUGAGACACGGUCCAGACUCCUACGGGAGGCAGCAGUGGGAAAUAUUGGACAAUGGGCGAAAGCCUGAUCCAGCCAUGCCGCGUGUGUGAAGAAGGUCUUCGGAUUGUAAAGCACUUUAAGUUGGGAGGAAGGGCAGUAAGUUAAUACCUUGCUGUUUUGACGUUACCAACAGAAUAAGCACCGGCGAACUUCGU
RNAcentral lists this ribosomal RNA (483 nucleotides) under uncultured bacterium. RNAcentral describes it as "partial 16S ribosomal RNA". It matches the Rfam family "Bacterial small subunit ribosomal RNA", at positions 30 to 506 of the family's 1533-position model. The record is from RNAcentral.